UGCACAUUUACAAUUGGGCUCUUUGCACAGCAGCCACUUUUGCCAGGCCAGGGAGGAAAAUCGCAGGGGUAAAUAAUCAAGUUAAUGAGGGCGGAGUUCCAUGAAGCUUCCUCAGUGUCAGAGUGACUGCAGUUUCACUGCCCCACAGGUGUUGCUAAUUAAAUCAUGUGAAGCCACUUAGCCAUAAAUAAUAUUAUCUACACCGUUAUUAGUGUGGCUGUAACAUGUCAAAAAUAUCUUUCAUGAGAAACUACAUAUCUGGAUAACCCUUUACCAGACCAAAGAGGAUUUAACCUGUUGACAAGUGAGUGGUCCUCUGGAGGUUGGCAAAUGGUGACCCUGUUUACUGAGCUCUGACACCCACCAAAGGAUUUCCACCCGGGCUUCCAUUCUUUCCUCCGUGGUGCUAUACUCUGCACGACAAGACCAGAGGGCCUCUGCAUUAACACUUGCAUCAGGGCAGGCAUGUAAAAAGGAAGUUUUGGAGCAACCGCUCAAUGGACCGUCUGGAACUCGAUCCCAAGUUUCCCCCGUGGACAUCCGACAACAUAAUUGUGAUGCUGAUGUGCGUGGCCAAUUGGAUCAAGUUGGAUGCCUUGAUUUUGACUGGAGGGGGAGAGCUGCAGCUACUAAUGCCAUACUGCGAGAGCCGACUGUAGGAGGCGAAAAGUGGAGACGAUUUACCCGGAGGGAGUGGAAAUCGUCGGCCAGCUCAGCUCAGCGCAGCAUGGAGUGGGAAAAUGAUGACGAUAACUUCCUGCCUGUGUGAGGAACAUCGGCCGAACAGGCUACAGUCGCAACUGGCCUGUGCAGCGCG
This is a long non-coding RNA of Solea senegalensis (Senegalese sole), 817 nucleotides long. RefSeq lists it as uncharacterized. The record is from RefSeq and is a predicted model, not a curated record. NCBI's taxonomy places the organism in Eukaryota, Metazoa, Chordata, Actinopteri, Pleuronectiformes, Soleidae. The transcript is spliced from 5 exons.